RNAcentral lists this transfer RNA (72 nucleotides) under Amphiophiura penichra. RNAcentral's name for it is "tRNA-Leu". It matches the Rfam family "tRNA". From Rfam's summary of the family: Transfer RNA (tRNA) molecules are approximately 80 nucleotides in length. Their secondary structure includes four short double-helical elements and three loops (D, anti-codon, and T loops). The record is from RNAcentral. Lineage: Eukaryota; Metazoa; Echinodermata; Ophiuroidea; Amphilepidida; Ophiuridae.
UUUAUAGUAGUUAAAAAGACAUAACAGUGGACUUAAAAUUCAAAAACGGAGGUUUAACUCCUCCCUAUAACU